This 21-nucleotide transfer RNA is filed under the name Dolichovespula omissa. RNAcentral describes it as "partial tRNA-Leu". The record is from RNAcentral. Lineage: Eukaryota; Metazoa; Arthropoda; Insecta; Hymenoptera; Vespidae.
AUUUUUAUUCUUUUAUUAUAA